RNAcentral lists this ribosomal RNA (758 nucleotides) under uncultured bacterium. RNAcentral describes it as "bacterial SSU rRNA". It matches the Rfam family "Bacterial small subunit ribosomal RNA", at positions 28 to 776 of the family's 1533-position model. The record is from RNAcentral.
GAUGAACGCUAGCUACAGGCUUAACACAUGCAAGUCGAGGGGCAUCAGGAAGAAAGCUUGCUUUCUUUGCCGGCGACCGGCGCACGGGUGAGUAACACGUAUCCAACCUGCCCUUUACUCGGGGAUAGCCUUUCGAAAGAAAGAUUAAUACCCGAUGGCAUAAUGAUUCCGCAUGGUUUCAUUAUUAAAGGAUUCCGGUAAAGGAUGGGGAUGCGUUCCAUUAGGUUGUUGGUGAGGUAACGGCUCACCAAGCCUUCGAUGGAUAGGGGUUCUGAGAGGAAGGUCCCCCACAUUGGAACUGAGACACGGUCCAAACUCCUACGGGAGGCAGCAGUGAGGAAUAUUGGUCAAUGGGCGGUAGCCUGAACCAGCCAAGUAGCGUGAAGGAUGAAGGCUCUAUGGGUCGUAAACUUCUUUUAUAUAAGAAUAAAGUGCAGUAUGUAUACUGUUUUGUAUGUAUUAUAUGAAUAAGGAUCGGCUAACUCCGUGCCAGCAGCCGCGGUAAUACGGAGGAUCCGAGCGUUAUCCGGAUUUAUUGGGUUUAAAGGGAACGUAGGUGGACUGGUAAGUCAGUUGUGAAAGUUUGCGGCUCAACCGUAAAAUUGCAGUUGAUACUGUCAGUCUUGAGUACAGUAGAGGUGGGCGGAAUUCGUGGUGUAGCGGUGAAAUGCUUAGAUAUCACGAAGAACUCCGAUUGCGAAGGCAGCUCACUGGACUGCAACUGACACUGAUGCUCGAAAGUGUGGGUAUCAAACAGG